CCCGCGACAUGCUGAUUCGCGAUUACUAGCAACUCCGGCUUCAUGCAGGCGAGUUUCAGCCUGCAAUCCGAACUGGGAUGAGUUUUAUGAGAUUUGCUCCACCUCGCGGUCUCGCGUCUCUUUGUUCUCACCAUUGUAGCACGUGUGUAGCCCUAGACAUAAGGGGCAUGAUGAUUUGACGUCAUCCCCACCUUCCUCCCGGUUAACCCGGGCAGUCUCUUUAGAGUGCUCAACUGAAUGGUAGCAACUAAAAAUAAGGGUUGCGCUCGUUGCGGGACUUAACCCAACAUCUCACGACACGAGCUGACGACAACCAUGCACCACCUGUCUUCCUGCCCCGAAGGGCUUCCCCGGUUAAGGGUAAUUCAGGAGAUGUCAAGUCUAGGUAAGGUUCUUCGCGUUGCUUCGAAUUAAACCACAUGCUCCGCUGCUUGUGCGGGCCCCCGUCAAUUCCUUUGAGUUUUAGUCUUGCGACCGUACUCCCCAGGCGGGGUACUUAUUGUGUUAACGACGGCACAGAAGGGGUCGAUACCUCCUACACCUAGUACCCAUCGUUUACGGCGUGGACUACCAGGGUAUCUAAUCCUGUUUGCUACCCACGCUUUCAUGCCUCAGUGUCAGUUACAGUCCAGAAAGCCGCCUUCGCCACUGGUGUUCCUCCUAAUAUCUACGCAUUUCACCGCUACACUAGGAAUUCCGCUUUCCUCUCCUGCACUCUA
This 719-nucleotide ribosomal RNA is filed under the name uncultured bacterium. RNAcentral's name for it is "partial 16S ribosomal RNA". The record is from RNAcentral.